This 286-nucleotide RNase P RNA is filed under the name Mycoplasmopsis gallopavonis. Its description in RNAcentral is "Mycoplasma gallopavonis RNase P RNA component class B". It matches the Rfam family "Bacterial RNase P class B". From Rfam's summary of the family: Ribonuclease P (RNase P) is a ubiquitous endoribonuclease, found in archaea, bacteria and eukarya as well as chloroplasts and mitochondria. Its best characterised activity is the generation of mature 5'-ends of tRNAs by cleaving the 5'-leader elements of precursor-tRNAs. The record is from RNAcentral. Lineage: Bacteria; Bacillati; Mycoplasmatota; Mycoplasmoidales; Metamycoplasmataceae.
AGUAUCAAGUCAGCAGCGGGCAAUUUUUAAAUUGUUUGAGGAAAAUCCACGCUAGCACUACCUGAGAUGGUAGUAGUGUUCAUGCUAAGCCCAAUAAGCUUAGGCUAUUAGACGACUAGUGCCACAGAGACGAGAAUUGUGAAACGGGUAAACUCCAUGAGCUAGAAACUCAAAUUAUGGUAGAGGAAUCUAAAAUAGGAAUUCAACGAAUUUUAGGAAUGUUAUUUUGAUAACAUUAGAUAAAUUGCUGACACCUUGUAAAAGGGACAGAACGUGGUUUAUUGAU